Molecule: ribosomal RNA, 468 nt
Filed under: uncultured bacterium
Lineage: Bacteria
Description: partial 16S ribosomal RNA
Rfam family: Bacterial small subunit ribosomal RNA
Source: RNAcentral
GACGAACGCUGGCGGCGUGCUUAACACAUGCAAGUCGAACGGAAAGGCCCUGCUUUUGUGGGGUGCUCGAGUGGCGAACGGGUGAGUAACACGUGAGUAACCUGCCCUUGACUUUGGGAUAACUUCAGGAAACUGGGGCUAAUACCGGAUAGGAGCUCCUGCUGCAUGGUGGGGGUUGGAAAGUUUCGGCGGUUGGGGAUGGACUCGCGGCUUAUCAGCUUGUUGGUGGGGUAGUGGCUUACCAAGGCUUUGACGGGUAGCCGGCCUGAGAGGGUGACCGGCCACAAUGGGACUGAGAUACGGCCCAGACUCCUACGGGAGGCAGCAGGGGGGAAUAUUGCACAAUGGGCGGAAGCCAGAUGCAGCAACGCCGCGUGCGGGAUGACGGCCUUCGGGUUGUAAACCGCUUUCGCCUGUGACGAAGCGUGAGUGACGGUAAUGGGUAAAGAAGCACCGGCUAACUACGUG